RNAcentral lists this unclassified non-coding RNA (493 nucleotides) under Hevea brasiliensis (rubber tree). Lineage: Eukaryota; Viridiplantae; Streptophyta; Magnoliopsida; Malpighiales; Euphorbiaceae. The record is from RNAcentral.
GUAGCUUCCUCUGGACGAGAACUCGUUUGCCUUUCAGCUCUAAGCCUUCCUUUCGCUUCGACCAUGAAACUCAGUCUUACAAAUCUCAAUUCCUUUCGGGCUUUUAAUUCCUUAAAUCCAAGGAAUCCAAUUCCCUUUCCUAGACCCUCAAAUCCAUUCUCUAUCUCUAAUCAGUUACUCUCCGUAAUCCACCAGUCUUCCAAACCUUCCCGUUUCCUUCCUAUUUGCUUUUCAAAUCCCACUAAACAAUCCAAUUCCAGCAACGAAAAAUAUCGUCUCUUUCCAACGCCGAGUUGACUGGGACUUCAAAUCAAAGUCUUGGUGAAGAUGAAUUGGAGAAGAAUUUGGGUGUGCAAGUUGGAAAUCCCAUUGUUCCCUCGUAUAUUCCGCCCGCCAUCUGCUAAGCUCAGUUUGAGUGACCAAGCUUUCUUUCUCUUGUCAUUUAUCGCUUGCACGACUUCUAUAGCUUUUACAAGCUUUGUCAUCGCUGCCG